GAUGAACGCUAGCUACAGGCUUAACACAUGCAAGUCGAGGGGAAACGAUAUUGGAAGCUUGCUUCCGAUAGGCGUCGACCGGCGCACGGGUGAGUAACGCGUAUCCAACCUGCCCAUCACUUGGGGAUAACCUUGCGAAAGUAAGACUAAUACCCAAUGACGUCUCUAGAAGACAUCUGAAGGAGAUUAAAGAUUUAUCGGUGAUGGAUGGGGAUGCGUCUGAUUAGCUUGUUGGCGGGGUAACGGCCCACCAAGGCGACGAUCAGUAGGGGUUCUGAGAGGAAGGUCCCCCACAUUGGGAACUGAGACACGGUCCAAACUCCUACGGGGAGGCAGCAGUGAGGAAUAUUGGUCAAUGGGCGAGAGCCUGAACCAGCCAAGUAGCGUGCAGGAUGACGGCCCUAUGGUUGUAAACUCUUUAUAAAGGAAUAAAGUCGGGUAUGUAUACCCGUUUGCAUGUACUUUAUGGAAUAAGGAUCGGCUAACUCCGUGCCAGCAGCCG
Molecule: ribosomal RNA, 502 nt
Filed under: uncultured bacterium
Lineage: Bacteria
Description: bacterial SSU rRNA
Rfam family: Bacterial small subunit ribosomal RNA
Source: RNAcentral